Molecule: ribosomal RNA, 253 nt
Filed under: uncultured bacterium
Lineage: Bacteria
Description: partial 16S ribosomal RNA
Rfam family: Bacterial small subunit ribosomal RNA
Source: RNAcentral
UACAGAGGUGGCAAGCGUUGUUCGGAAUUACUGGGCGUAAAGGGCGCGUAGGCGGUCUUGUAAGUCUUGUGUGAAAUCCCUCGGCUUAACUGAGGAACUGCACGGGAUACUGCGAGACUUGAGUUCGGGAGAGGGAAGCGGAAUUCCGGGUGUAGCGGUGAAAUGCGUAGAUAUCCGGAGGAACACCGGUGGCGAAGGCGGCUUUCUGGUCUGAUACUGACGCUGAGGCGCGAAAGCGUGGGGAGCGAUCCGG